GUUAUAACGGUGUGUGUCUUUACCUGUUCCUCCAGACGCUUCGGACGAGCCGCCGGCGGGAGCCGCUUCAGUCGAGCCGCAGGGAUCCGGAGACACACACACUCCUGCUGCUCCUCCAAACACCGAUGCCGAGCAGAAGAACGGGAAGACUCCGGAUUCGCUCGCGACCGUCCCGAAGGAGAAGAGGACCGAGACCGAGAUCGGUGACCGCUGCUCUCAUCCUAAAGGCCCUCGGGAUCCUCCGUCGGAGUGGACGUGACUCUCCUCACACACACUCUAUCAGUGAUGGACGUGACUCUCCUCACACACACUCUAUCAGUGAUGGACGUGACUCUCCUCACACACACUCUAUCAGUGAUGGACCUGACUAUCCUCACACACACUCUCUAUCAGUGAUGGACGUCGAAGACUUUGCGCCCUCAUCUCUGACUUAGACAACCAGAAAGCUCCCAAGAUAAUCUCCCAUGAUGCACUGCUGCGCUGCCACGGACUGUUGGUGCUAAGCUCUCGCUGGGACCAGAAACAUGCCUUAUUCCUGCUGUCCCGGACCGUCACUCGCGUAGUUUUAGUCUGAACUCAUGAGCGCUGAACGCUGUCUGUCUUCUGUGUUCAGGCGAGCAGAAAAUAAUAAUGAUGCAAAUCUACUAUCACUGAAUAUAUUAAUGCGAUGUAAGACAUCUGUGCAUGAACCCCGUCACGUGAACCUCAAACUGUAAGUUAUUUGCCCUCCUGUUAGAACAAGCGUUUUCAGGGUUGUGUUUUCUUUUCUCCCGCCGUUCUUCCCGUUUGUUCGGCAGGUGUGUAUCGGCAGGUGUGUAUCGGCCACUUCAGACGCUGCGGGCUGGAGAUUGUAUUAAUGCUUUUUGUAAAUUGUAUUCUAGAGGUUAUUUUUGUAUAUGCCAUUUUCUCACUUCACGAACGACACCCUGACAGCU
Molecule: long non-coding RNA, 935 nt
Organism: Rhinichthys klamathensis goyatoka
Lineage: Eukaryota; Metazoa; Chordata; Actinopteri; Cypriniformes; Leuciscidae
Exons: 4
Source: RefSeq, a predicted model, not a curated record